Molecule: ribosomal RNA, 253 nt
Filed under: uncultured bacterium
Lineage: Bacteria
Description: partial 16S ribosomal RNA
Rfam family: Bacterial small subunit ribosomal RNA
Source: RNAcentral
UACGUAGGGUGCGAGCGUUGUCCGGAAUUAUUGGGCGUAAAGAGCUUGUAGGCGGUUUGUCGCGUCUGCCGUGAAAAUCCGGGGCUCAACCCCGGACUUGCGGUGGGUACGGGCAGACUAGAGUGUGGUAGGGGAGACUGGAAUUCCUGGUGUAGCGGUGAAAUGCGCAGAUAUCAGGAGGAACACCGAUGGCGAAGGCAGGUCUCUGGGCCACUACUGAUGCUGAGAAGCGAAAGCGUGGGGAGCGAACAGG